This 493-nucleotide ribosomal RNA is filed under the name uncultured bacterium. RNAcentral's name for it is "partial 16S ribosomal RNA". It matches the Rfam family "Bacterial small subunit ribosomal RNA", at positions 29 to 507 of the family's 1533-position model. The record is from RNAcentral.
AGUGAACGCUGGCGGUAGGCCUAACACAUGCAAGUCGAACGGCAGCACAGUAAGAGCUUGCUCUUACGGGUGGCGAGUGGCGGACGGGUGAGGAAUACAUCGGAAUCUACUUUUUCGUGGGGGAUAACGUAGGGAAACUUACGCUAAUACCGCAUACGACCUACGGGUGAAAGCAGGGGAUCUUCGGACCUUGCGCGAUUGAAUGAGCCGAUGUCGGAUUAGCUAGUUGGCGGGGUAAAGGCCCACCAAGGCGACGAUCCGUAGCUGGUCUGAGAGGAUGAUCAGCCACACUGGAACUGAGACACGGUCCAGACUCCUACGGGAGGCAGCAGUGGGGAAUAUUGGACAAUGGGCGCAAGCCUGAUCCAGCCAUACCGCGUGGGUGAAGAAGGCCUUCGGGUUGUUAAAGCCCUUUUGUUGGGAAAGAAAAGCAGCAGGUUAAUACCCCGCUGUUCUGACGGUACCCAAAGAAUAAGCACCGGCUAACCUCGUG